RNAcentral lists this small nuclear RNA (323 nucleotides) under Vulpes vulpes (red fox). Its description in RNAcentral is "7SK RNA (ENSVVUG00000009470.1)". It matches the Rfam family "7SK RNA". Rfam says of the family: 7SK was discovered as an abundant small nuclear RNA in the mid-70s but a possible function has only recently been suggested. Two independent studies have found that 7SK RNA binds the CDK9/cyclin T complex (known as elongation factor P-TEFb). P-TEFb activates transcription by phosphorylating the C-terminal domain of RNA polymerase II. The record is from RNAcentral. Lineage: Eukaryota; Metazoa; Chordata; Mammalia; Carnivora; Canidae.
GAAUGUGAGGAUGAUCUGGCUGUGACAUCUGUCACCCCCUUGAUUGCCACGGUUGAUUUGGCUGAUCUGGCUGGCUAGGUGGGUGUCCCCUUUCUCCUUCACUGCUCUCUGUACAUACCUCCCAAAGCUGCACACUCAGUUGAAGAGGAGAACCUUCCUCAAUAAAGAGGACCAUUCUUCGAUCAAAGGUAUACCAGUAGCUGUGCGCUCAUUAGACCCUUCAGACAUGCUCUUAAGGUCCAUUUGUAGGAGAACGUAGGGUAGUCAAGCUUCCAACCCCAGACACAUCCAAAUGAGGCACUGCAUGUGGCAGAUUGCCUUAA